CCUACGGGAGGCAGCAGUGGGGAAUUUUGGACAAUGGGCGCAAGCCUGAUCCAGCCAUUCCGCGUGCAGGAUGAAGGCCUUCGGGUUGUAAACUGCUUUUGUACGGAACGAAACGGUUCUCUCUAAUACAGGGGGCUAAUGACGGUACCGUAAGAAUAAGCACCGGCUAACUACGUGCCAGCAGCCGCGGUAAUACGUAGGGUGCAAGCGUUAAUCGGAAUUACUGGGCGUAAAGCGUGCGCAGGCGGUUUUGUAAGACAGAGGUGAAAUCCCCGGGCUCAACCUGGGAACUGCCUUUGUGACUGCAAGGCUGGAGUACGGCAGAGGGGGAUGGAAUUCCGCGUGUAGCAGUGAAAUGCGUAGAUAUGCGGAGGAACACCGAUGGCGAAGGCAAUCCCCUGGGCCUGUACUGACGCUCAUGCACGAAAGCGUGGGGAGCAAACAGGAUUAGGUACCCUGGUAGUCCACGCCCUAAACGAUGUCAACUGGUUGUUGGGUCUUCACUGACUCAGUAACGAAGCUAACGCGUGAAGUUGACCGCCUGGGGAGUACGGCCGCAAGGUUAAAACUCAAAUGAAUUGACGG
This 585-nucleotide ribosomal RNA is filed under the name uncultured bacterium. Its description in RNAcentral is "bacterial SSU rRNA". It matches the Rfam family "Bacterial small subunit ribosomal RNA", at positions 338 to 916 of the family's 1533-position model. The record is from RNAcentral.